RNAcentral lists this ribosomal RNA (1183 nucleotides) under uncultured fungus. RNAcentral's name for it is "eukaryotic LSU rRNA". The stretch from base 536 to 1183 matches the Rfam family "Eukaryotic large subunit ribosomal RNA", at positions 1 to 667 of the family's 3401-position model. Lineage: Eukaryota; Fungi. The record is from RNAcentral.
CUUGGUCAUUUAGAGGAAGUAAAAGUCGUAACAAGGUUUCCGUAGGUGAACCUGCGGAAGGAUCAUUAAAGAGAACAUGCCCUUCGGGGUAGAUCUCCCACCCUUUGUUUAUAUACUUUGUUGCUUUGGCAGACCCGUCUUCGGACCGCCGGCGCCAGCUGGUCCGCGUCUGCCAGAGAACCCCAAACUCAUAUUAUCAAUGUCGUCUGAGUACUAUAAUAAUAGUUAAAACUUUCAACAACGGAUCUCUUGGUUCUGGCAUCGAUGAAGAACGCAGCGAAAUGCGAUAAGUAAUGUGAAUUGCAGAAUUCAGUGAAUCAUCGAAUCUUUGAACGCACAUUGCGCCCUCUGGUAUUCCGGGGGGCAUGCCUGUUCGAGCGUCAUUACAACCCUCAAGCUCUGCUUGGUAUUGGGCCUCGCCGGUUCUGGCGGGCCUCAAAAUCAGUGGCGGUGCCAUUUGGCUUCAAGCGCAGUAAUUCUUCUCGCUCUGGAGUUCCGUCUGCGUGCUUGCCAGCAACCCCCAAUUUUUUAAGGUUGACCUCGGAUCAGGUAGGGAUACCCGCUGAACUUAAGCAUAUCAAUAAGCGGAGGAAAAGAAACCAACAGGGAUUGCCUCAGUAACGGCGAGUGAAGCGGCAACAGCUCAAAUUUGAAAUCUGGCCUCACGGCCCGAGUUGUAAUUUGUAGAGGAUGUUUCGAGCGUGGUCCGGUCUAAGUUCCUUGGAACAGGACGUCAUAGAGGGUGAGAAUCCCGUAUGCGACCGGGUGCCUAAGUUCAUGUGAAACUCCUUCGACGAGUCGAGUUGUUUGGGAAUGCAGCUCAAAAUGGGUGGUAAAUUUCAUCUAAAGCUAAAUACUGGCCAGAGACCGAUAGCGCACAAGUAGAGUGAUCGAAAGAUGAAAAGCACUUUGGAAAGAGAGUUAAACAGUACGUGAAAUUGUUGAAAGGGAAGCGCUUGCAACCAGACUUGCACGCAGCCGAUCAUCCGGUAUUCUUACCGGUGCACUCGGUUGCGUUCAGGCCAGCAUCGGUUUUGGUGGUUGGAUAAAGGCCUUGGGAAUGUAGCUUCUUUCGGGGAGUGUUAUAGCCCUCGGUGCAAUGCAGCCUACCGGGACCGAGGACCGCGCUUCGGCUAGGAUGCUGGCGUAAUGGUUGUAAGCGACCCGUCUUGAAACACGGACC